GAAAAUCUCAUCUUCCUUGAUCCGAAUUUUCUUUAGAUUUUAAAUAUUUGGCAAAGCCCUAGGGCAUUAGAGAGCCCGACCAAUAGAAGCUUUCGGGUCAAAGUUCUUCCUGUGAAUUUUCCAGACUUCUAUCAGAAAACUUUACAUUGAGAUUAUUGAAGAAUCUACACUUUCAUCAUCAUAGUCGUAAUAAUUAUAAAAUGAAGACUAAGACUUGGUGAUAAUUAUAUCUAGUUCUUUCAAAAGGAAAAGCUAAGGUGUUAGGCGAAGCUCUGCCCAAAUCGCAAGUCAUCCACUUUUAACAAGUACUUUCGCUCAUGAAUCUUCAAUUGUCUCGAGGCAUAAGCCACAAAUCUGUCUCUUAUGGCAAUCCCUUUUCGAGUCAAUAUUGUGAGUGGAGCAGCAAUAAAAGAAAAGUCUUCGAUGAAUCUUUGGUAGUAAACUAGUCAAUCCAAAAAAACGAUGAACUUCGAUGGGACUCUUUGACGUCUCCCAUUUCAUGAGAGCUUUGAUUUUUGCUGGGUCAACUAUAUACCUUUCUGGUUAACCACGUGACCAAAGAAUUAUAUUUCUCGAACUCAUGUGUAAAGCUUCUCCUUCUUCAGUUUGUUACUGUCCAUGUUAUUGUUCACCAGAAAGUUGUUCUUUACAUUUUGAGAUAUAUUUGUGGCUCUGUUUUAGAGUCUCUUGUUAUAUUCGACGUGUUGUUUAGAGUUGUGUGUUCAUUAUGAUAUUGAUUGGGAUGGUGAUCAUACUAAUCGGAAAUCCACUUUUGUUGUGUAUAUUUUCCUUGGAGAUUCACUUAUUUCAUGGAAAAGUAAGAAAUAGGAUGUUGUCUUUUGAUCUUC
Lactuca sativa (garden lettuce) is the source of this 848-nucleotide long non-coding RNA. RefSeq lists it as uncharacterized. The record is from RefSeq and is a predicted model, not a curated record. Lineage: Eukaryota; Viridiplantae; Streptophyta; Magnoliopsida; Asterales; Asteraceae.